RNAcentral lists this long non-coding RNA (449 nucleotides) under Trifolium pratense (red clover). RNAcentral describes it as "long non-coding RNA (TPRA_LNC005218)". The record is from RNAcentral. Lineage: Eukaryota; Viridiplantae; Streptophyta; Magnoliopsida; Fabales; Fabaceae.
UUUUAAGUUUUAGCUAAGCCAUUUAAGUUUUAGAAAAGAAAAAGAAAUAAUAAAAAUGAAAGAAAGAAAGGAAAAAGAAAUGGAAUAACAGAGCAAAAUUCAUUCUCAACAUUGGGAUUAUUGAGAUUAAAAUGAUGAAGUUAAAAUAUCAAGUAUUUGGUCCCUUGAUAAACAAGAAUAUGCACGUAGGUAUCUAUAUUAGAAACAAAAUGAGAUGCAUUUUUCUUAAUUAAUAUUACAGUUACAUUUUUGAAUAAUUUCCUUUAAUACAUUAGUAAUAAUGAUAGUUAGUUAAGAGAUAGUUGUUUUCAUGAGUGAAUAGGUAUCAUAGAAGAAGGUGAUCGUUCAAGUUAUUUUGGAAAGCUCUGAGGUAAGGGGAAUCACUAAUAAUAAGUUUCGAUGAGCACAAGAAAUGUGUUACUUGUAUAUAUAUUAUUAGUUAUAACUAG